Molecule: ribosomal RNA, 301 nt
Filed under: uncultured bacterium
Lineage: Bacteria
Description: partial 16S ribosomal RNA
Rfam family: Bacterial small subunit ribosomal RNA
Source: RNAcentral
CAGCAGCCGCGGUAAUACGUAGGGUGCGAGCGUUAAUCGGAACUACUGGGCGUAAAGCGUGCGCAGGCGGUUCGUUAAGACAGAUGUGAAAUCCCCGGGCUUAACCUGGGAACUGCAUUUGUGACUGGCGAGCUAGAGUAUGGCAGAGGGGGGUAGAAUUCCACGUGUAGCAGUGAAAUGCGUAGAGAUGUGGAGGAAUACCGAUGGCGAAGGCAGCCCCCUGGGCCAAUACUGACGCUCAUGCACGAAAGCGUGGGGAGCAAACAGGAUUAGAUACCCCCGUAGUCCCUGUCUCUUAUAA